RNAcentral lists this ribosomal RNA (253 nucleotides) under uncultured bacterium. RNAcentral describes it as "partial 16S ribosomal RNA". It matches the Rfam family "Archaeal small subunit ribosomal RNA", at positions 474 to 727 of the family's 1478-position model. The record is from RNAcentral.
UACCAGCACCCCGAGUGGUCGGGACGAUUAUUGGGCCUAAAGCAUCCGUAGCCGGUUUUACAAGUCCUCCGUUAAAUCCAGCUGCUUAACAGAUGGGCUGCGGAGGAUACUAUAAGACUAGGAGGCAGGAGAGGCAAGCGGUACUCAGUGGGUAGGGGUAGAAUCCGUUGAUCCAUUGAAGACCACCAGUGGCGAAGGCGGCUUGCCAGAAUGCGCUCGACGGUGAGGGAUGAAAGCUGGGGGAGCAAACCGG